Ictidomys tridecemlineatus (thirteen-lined ground squirrel) is the source of this 456-nucleotide long non-coding RNA. RefSeq lists it as uncharacterized. The record is from RefSeq and is a predicted model, not a curated record. Lineage: Eukaryota; Metazoa; Chordata; Mammalia; Rodentia; Sciuridae.
GGUGGUACCCAACACAGCUGACAACAGCAACAGAAAACAAAACAGUGAGAUUAAGGGCCCGGGAAGCAAUGGGAACAUCAUCCUUUGACAAAUGGAGACCAGGAGAUUCCGAAGGGAACACUCCUGAGGUGGCUUUGGGGCCAGAGAAUGCCAGACAAAUCCUUGAGCAGUGCUCAAGUGCUCACUAUGAGCCAAGCUGUGCAGAGAAAUGACACACAGCCUCAGACAGCUCCUGGAAGGACCCUGAAAGACCCUGGAAACCUUGGGAGAGAUCACUUCAGGCAAGGGUAUCCUAUGCCACAGGACUAUUUUCUCUGGGUUAUCCUUUAAAUUUUUUCCUUGUUACUUUGAUUCUAAGCUAGAACAUUUGGGUUUGGAUGAUAUUUGGCUGGUUGCCCCUGCCCCAAGAUCCAUUUAAAUAAAUGCAUAGCUAUAAAAAUAAAAUGUGCUCCCCUU